UUGACCUGUGCUCAACACGAACGCAGACGGCGCGUUUAAGCAUGCAAGUCGAGCGGUAACUACCUUUCGGGGUAGCUAGAGCGGCGAACGGGUGAGUAACACGUAGAUNAUCUGCCUUGAGGUUGGGGAUAGCCUGUGGAAACACAGGGUAAUACCGAAUAAGCCCUAUGGGGGAAAGGUGCUAAGGCACCGCCUUAAGAUGAGUCUGCGGCUCAUUAGUUAGUUGGUGGGGUAACGGCCUACCAAGGCGACGAUGAGUAGCCGGCCUGAGAGGGUGGACGGCCACACUGGGACUGAGACACGGCCCAGACUCCUACGGGAGGCAGCAGCGGAGAAUCUUCCGCAAUGGGCGCAAGCCUGACGGAGCGACGCCGCGUGAACGAUGAAGGCCGUGAGGUUGUAAAGUUCUUUUCUUACUGAAGAAUAAUUACCCGAGGGAAUGCGGGUAAGAUGACGUUAGGUAAGGAAUAAGCCCCGGCUAAUUACGUGCCAGCAGCCGCGGUAACACGUAAGGGGCAAGCGUUGUUCGGAAUUAUUGGGCGUAAAGGGCGUGUAGGCGGUUUUACAAGUCUGGUGUGAAAUACCGCAGCUUAACUGCGGGGACGCGCUGGAAACUGUAAGACUAGAGUACAGGAGGGGGACCUGGAAUUCCUGGUGUAGGGGUGAAAUCUGUAGAUAUCAGGAAGAACACCGGUGGCGAAGGCGAGGUCCUGGCCAUGUACUGACGCUGAGGCGCGAAAGCGUGGGGAGCGAACAGGAUUAGAUACCCUGGUAGUCCACGGCCGCAAACGAUGUGCACUAGGUGCUUGGGGGUAACUUGAGUGCCGUAGCUAACGCGUUAGUGCACCGCCUGGGGAGUAUGCUCGCAGGG
Molecule: ribosomal RNA, 871 nt
Filed under: uncultured organism
Description: bacterial SSU rRNA
Rfam family: Bacterial small subunit ribosomal RNA
Source: RNAcentral